Molecule: non-coding RNA, 148 nt
Filed under: Homo sapiens (human)
Lineage: Eukaryota; Metazoa; Chordata; Mammalia; Primates; Hominidae
Source: Rfam by way of RNAcentral
GCUGGGUGUGGUGGCACGCACCUGUAGUCCCAGCUACUCAGGAGGCUGAGGCAGGAGAAUCACUUGAACCCAGGAGACAGAAGUCACAGUGAGCCGAGAUCGCACCACUGCACUACUGCCUGGGUGACAAAGUAAGACUCUGCCUCAA